This 619-nucleotide ribosomal RNA is filed under the name Cylindrospermum catenatum AUS-JR/MT/NT-040. RNAcentral describes it as "bacterial SSU rRNA". It matches the Rfam family "Bacterial small subunit ribosomal RNA", at positions 132 to 787 of the family's 1533-position model. The record is from RNAcentral. Lineage: Bacteria; Bacillati; Cyanobacteriota; Cyanophyceae; Nostocales; Nostocaceae.
UUAGUCGGGUCACACUGGUAACGGUGGCUAAUACCGGAUGUGCCGAGAGGUGAAAGAUUUAUUGCCUGAAGAUGAGCUCGCGUCUGAUUACCUAGUUGGGGGGGUAAGAGCCUACCAAGGCGACGAUCAGUAGCUGGUCUGAGAGGAUGAUCAGCCACACUGGGACUGAAACACGGCCCAAACUCCUACGGGAGGCAGCAGGGGGGAAUUUUCCGCAAUGGGCGAAAGCCUGACGGAGCAAUACCGCGUGAGGGAGGAAGGCUCUUGGGUUGUAAACCUCUUUUCUCAGGGAAUAAAAAAAUGAAGGUACCUGAGGAAUAAGCAUCGGCUAACUCCGUGCCAGCAGCCGCGGUAAUACGGAGGAUGCAAGCGUUAUCCGGAAUGAUUGGGCGUAAAGCGUCCGCAGGUGGCUAUGUAAGUCUGCUGUUAAAGAGUGAGGCUCAACCUCAUAAAAGCGGUGGAAACUACAUGGCUAGAGUGCGUUCGGGGCAGAGGGAAUUCCUGGUGUAGCGGUGAAAUGCGUAAAGAUCAGGAAAAACACCGGUGGCGAAAGCGCUCUGCUAGGCCGCAACUGACACUGAGGGACGAAAGCUAGGGGAGCGAAUGGGAUUAGAUACCC